Molecule: ribosomal RNA, 241 nt
Filed under: uncultured bacterium
Lineage: Bacteria
Description: partial 16S ribosomal RNA
Rfam family: Bacterial small subunit ribosomal RNA
Source: RNAcentral
GCGUGAGGAACCUGCCUCAAAGAGGGGACAACAGUUGGAAACGACUGCUAAUACCGCAUAAGCCCACGGGUCGGCAUCGACCAGAGGGAAAAGGAGCAAUCCGCUUUGAGAUGGCCUCGCGUCCGAUUAGCUAGUUGGUGAGGUAAUGGCCCACCAAGGCAACGAUCGGUAGCCGGACUGAGAGGUUGAACGGCCACAUUGGGACUGAGACACGGUCCAAACUCCUACGGGAGGCAGCAUG